AUUGAACGCUGGCGGCGUGCCUAACACAUGCAAGUCGAGCGGUAACAGGUGUAGCAAUACAUGCUGACGAGCGGCGGACGGGUGAGUAACGCUUGGGAAUCUGCCUAUUAGUGGGGGACAACCCGGGGAAACUCGGGCUAAUACCGCAUACGCUCUACGGAGGAAAGCCGGGGACCGCAAGGCCUGGCGCUAAUAGAUGAGCCCAAGUCGGAUUAGCUAGUUGGUAGGGUAANGGCCUACCAAGGCGACGAUCCGUAGCUGGUCUGAGAGGACGACCAGUCACACCGGAACUGAGACACGGUCCGGACUCCUACGGGAGGCAGCAGUGGGGAAUAUUGGACAAUGGGCG
This 349-nucleotide ribosomal RNA is filed under the name uncultured bacterium. RNAcentral's name for it is "bacterial SSU rRNA". It matches the Rfam family "Bacterial small subunit ribosomal RNA", at positions 29 to 377 of the family's 1533-position model. The record is from RNAcentral.